This 335-nucleotide long non-coding RNA is filed under the name Homo sapiens (human). RNAcentral's name for it is "HSALNT0388236". The record is from RNAcentral. Lineage: Eukaryota; Metazoa; Chordata; Mammalia; Primates; Hominidae.
CAGCCCUCUGGGAGGGCAAGUGGAAGAGUGAGUAGAUCAGCUGGAUAGGAGUGAGGAGUUGGAGGAAGGGUUGGGGUAUGGCCAGUGCAGUUAAGUGACUUGCCUUAGUGCACACCCCCAGAAAGUGACAGCACCAGCAUUUGAACCCUGACACAAGCAUCUCCAAAACUGCAUUCUUCCCACUGUGCCACAGUUAAGAUGAGUCCACCAGCCCUGUUUAGGAAGGGGCCUCAGAAGAGGGGAUGAAGUGGCCAUUCUGAGCAGCACCAUCUACGUCAGCAGAAACUGGAAGGCCGAGACCCAUGGAGAAGCUGGGAGGAGUUGCCAGAGAGAGG